UAGGGAAUAUUGCACAAUGGAGGAAACUCUGAUGCAGCGACGCCGCGUGAGUGAUGAAGGCCUUCGGGUUGUAAAGCUCUGUUCUCAGGGAAAAAGAAAGUGAUGGUACCUGAGAAGAAAGGACCGGCUAACUUCGUGCCAGCAGCCGCGGUAAGACGAGGGGUCCUAGCGUUGUUCGGAAUCAUUGGGCGUAAAGCGGGUGUAGGCGGCCUUAUAAGUCAGAAGUGAAAGCCCCGAGCUUAACUCGGGAAGUGCUUUUGAUACUGCAAGGCUUGAAUGUGGGAGAGGAUGGUGGAAUUCCUGGUGUAGUGGUGAAAUACGUAGAUAUCAGGAGGAACAUCGGUGGCGAAGGCGGCCAUCUGGCCCAACAUUGACGCUCAGACCCGAAAGCGUGGGGAUCAAACAG
RNAcentral lists this ribosomal RNA (406 nucleotides) under uncultured bacterium. RNAcentral's name for it is "bacterial SSU rRNA". It matches the Rfam family "Bacterial small subunit ribosomal RNA", at positions 355 to 775 of the family's 1533-position model. The record is from RNAcentral.